RNAcentral lists this unclassified non-coding RNA (153 nucleotides) under uncultured Sordariomycetes. Its description in RNAcentral is "sequence contains ITS2". Lineage: Eukaryota; Fungi; Ascomycota; Sordariomycetes. The record is from RNAcentral.
CAACCCCUAAGCACAGCUUAUUGUUGGGACUCUACGGCUUCGUAGUUCCCCAAAGACAUUGGCGGAGUGGCAGCAGUCCUCUGAGCGUAGUAAUUCUUUAUCUCGCUUUUGUUAGGCGCUGCCCCCCCGGCCGUAAAACCCCCAAUUUUUUCU